Molecule: long non-coding RNA, 371 nt
Filed under: Homo sapiens (human)
Lineage: Eukaryota; Metazoa; Chordata; Mammalia; Primates; Hominidae
Description: HSALNT0243638
Source: RNAcentral
CGACUUGCUCAUCCCUCCCAAGCAGAUUUAUGGAAACUCACCUGGAAACCACCACAACCUGGAAAGGUGGCAGGAGGAUGUUUAUCAGGCGCCUCAGCUUUGAUGAAACUCUACUUUGUGCACAGCAUCCACCAGAACCCCUCGGUGUUACUCCUGUGAGACUUCAGAUGCAAAAGGAACUGAUGCAAUCACUAAGCUCAUGAAACUUAACGUGUCAUGAGUAAUAAAGUCCGUUGUCUCCAACCCAAGAGUCUUGUGUCCUCUGCCAGCAUCCCUGAAACUGUAACAGACUAACUUGCUUACAAGUAUGAAGAAGUCUCAGCCCCUUCACAGUUUGAUGAUUGCUCAUGUAUUUGGGAAUUGCCCAUAUA